RNAcentral lists this ribosomal RNA (467 nucleotides) under uncultured bacterium. RNAcentral describes it as "bacterial SSU rRNA". It matches the Rfam family "Bacterial small subunit ribosomal RNA", at positions 355 to 825 of the family's 1533-position model. The record is from RNAcentral.
UAAGGAAUAUUGGUCAAUGCCCGGAAGGGUGAACCAGCCAUCCCGCGUGAAGGAUGAAGGGGCUCUGCCUUGUAAACUUCUUUUGAAUGGGACGAAAAAGCCUCACUUGUGAGGAACUGACGGUACCAUUAGAAUAAGCACCGGCUAACUCCGUGCCAGCAGCCGCGGUAAUACGGAGGGUGCGAGCGUUAUCCGGAAUCACUGGGUUUAAAGGGUGCGUAGGCGGCUGUAUAAGUCAGUGGUGAAAGGCUGUGGCUUAACCAUGGGAUUGCCAUUGAUACUGUACGGCUUGAAUUAGGAUGAGGUUGGCGGAAUGUGACAUGUAGCGGUGAAAUGCUUAGAUAUGUCAUGGAACAUCGAUUGCGAAGGCAGCUGACUGGACCUUAAUUGACGCUGAGGCACGAAAGCGUGGGGAGCGAACAGGAUUAGAUACCCAGGUAGUCCCUGAGCGGGCUGGCAAGGCGCAU